AAAUAUGUUUUCUUUUUAGCUUGUUUCUAAAGUGCAAAAUAAAAAGCCCUAGCUCUCUCUCACACAGCAGCAGUGCGAAACCCAUUCCUGCAAAUACCAGUACAUGGGGUUUUGUCGUUUAGCUUGAAAUACCCACACAGAACAGGUUUGUCCCUUAAAUUUAUAUCUUGAAUUCUCCAAGCCCUAAAUUUUCAUUUCUAAUUUCAAGAACCUGGGUUAUAUUUUGUUCAAAUUUCACCUUUCCAAUUUCAAAAUAAUAAGUGAGGGGAUGUUCAAUUUCCCUUUUCGCCUGAUUAAAGCUUCUUGGAGUGAUAAAUUUGAAUAUGUAUUCGUUUUGUUUCAGGUUAAAUACAAUGGACUUAAAUGGGAAAAGUUCACCGCAAGAGAAUGUUGAUUCGAAGGGGGCAUUCCGUAAGAUCUCCAAUGAUGCAGCUAACAGGAAAUACAGGCGUCGCUCUCCUGUUGGUGGUGGUUCCUCAUCGUCUGACGGUUAGUUUUUUUAAUUAAAAGAAAUUUUAUGCUAUUAAAAUUAAAAUAAUUAGAAAAAGAAAACAUUAUUCAGACCCUGUUUUGAUUUCCCUAAAUGUUUUACUAAUAGUUUCACUUUGUCACACGCUCUUGUUUCUGUGUAGCUGCGGGAUGCUUAUAGUAAAGCUCCGCCUAUGUGGGUUUCUCCAAAAUUGUAUUGGAAUGAAAUGGACAUGAAUAGUGAGGAGCGAGUGGAGAGAAUUUAUAAAAUGUGGUGGGAUUGAUUGAUUAAUCGAAAAGACGUUCUGUAGCAAUUAAUGUUUGAUGCAUAUUUUG
This 804-nucleotide long non-coding RNA is filed under the name Nicotiana benthamiana. Its description in RNAcentral is "long non-coding RNA (NBEN_LNC019113)". Lineage: Eukaryota; Viridiplantae; Streptophyta; Magnoliopsida; Solanales; Solanaceae. The record is from RNAcentral.